CGGGAUCGGGAUCGGGAUCGGGAUCGGGAUCGGGAUCGGGAUCGGGAUCGGGAUCGGGAUCGGGGCCGCGCUCCCAGCUCGGUGGCGGUGCGGCCGCGGGGAGCCGGGCCCGCGGGCUCCUCAGGGAGGCUCCGGCUGCGGCCGGGGCGCCGUGCCCCGCUCGCAGUGCCGCCCUGGGUUAGCCCGGGGUGUGUUGCGGGCGCUGAGUCAGUUACUCCAGGGCGAGAGGUUUGCUUAAUGUUUCCAGCUCUGCUGGUUUUGCAACCGAGAGGGGCCGGAGUUUGUUGUUCUUAAACUUAGAUUUGGGUAUUACAUAACUCGGGGCUGGAGCGCUGAGCACGUGCGCGGGCCUCAAUUCCUUUUGCCCAAGGAUAUGUCAGCCUAGUUGGUGAGGAGUCCAGAAGGCAACUGCUCCCUGUAACCAGAAAAUGUUUUACGGCACACAGCUCCUAAUGUCGUGUUUGUCCAUGCCAAAGGGGCAGAUUUUGCCUUCUAGAUGUACAGAAAAUGGUGGGAUAACAAGUAGAGGAAAACAGACAGGAAGGCUUGACAAGGGUUAAGCAGCAGCAAUGAAAAGCUCACUGGGAUUACAAGCGUGCAGAUGAGCAGCAGAAGGAGAAUUGUUUAGUUGUGAGAAGGCAGAAAUCGAGGAGAGCAGGCGUGUGGGAGAGGAAGUUGCCUUGAUCACAGGAUUUCCGUCACUCUGCACUGCAAGAGCAUGCAUGGGUGGAGCAAGCAGUGAAGCACAUCCCUGGCCUACAGAAGUUACGGAAGAUGCUUUGCACCAGCCUUUUAGUUAUCAGAAAUAUUAUUUCAAGUUCUGUAAAAAUAAAUAUAAUGAUAUUAA
Passer domesticus (house sparrow) is the source of this 847-nucleotide long non-coding RNA. RefSeq lists it as uncharacterized. The record is from RefSeq and is a predicted model, not a curated record. Lineage: Eukaryota; Metazoa; Chordata; Aves; Passeriformes; Passeridae. The transcript has 3 exons.